UACGUAGGGGGCAAGCGUUGUCCGGAAUCAUUGGGCGUAAAGCGCGUGUAGGCGGUCCGGUAAGUCCGCUGUGAAAGUCGGGGGCUCAACCCUCGGAUGCCGGUGGAUACUGUCGGGCUUGAGUACGGAAGAGGCGAGUGGAAUUCCUGGUGUAGCGGUGAAACGCGCAGAUAUCAGGAGGAACACCAAUUGCGAAGGCAGCUCGCUGGGACGUUACUGACGCUGAGACGCGAAAGCGUGGGGAGCAAACAGG
Molecule: ribosomal RNA, 253 nt
Filed under: uncultured bacterium
Lineage: Bacteria
Description: partial 16S ribosomal RNA
Rfam family: Bacterial small subunit ribosomal RNA
Source: RNAcentral